This 1698-nucleotide long non-coding RNA is filed under the name Mus musculus (house mouse). RNAcentral's name for it is "long non-coding RNA chr9:64839375-64841073". Lineage: Eukaryota; Metazoa; Chordata; Mammalia; Rodentia; Muridae. The record is from RNAcentral.
GGAGAAUUAAAAACAAAGCAAUGCAUACCCAGAAUCUUAUAUUCACUCUGUCUCCAUCUCUCUGUCCUGUGGAUUCUAGUGCCCGCCUUCCUGUUAGAUGAAAGGGAGAGAAUAAAUAUAUUAAAUGCAGAGGGCACCAGAAAACUAAUGGAUCAUCCUCAGCACAAAUUUUAAAUUGAAAAAAAAAUUUUUUUUUUGAGACAGGGUUUCUCUGUAUAGCCCUGGCUGUCCUGGAACUCACUUUGUAGACCAGGCUGGCCUCGAACUCAGAAAUCUGCCUGCCUCUGCCUCCUGAGUGCUGGGAUUAAAGGCAUGUGCCACCAUGCCUGGCGAAGAUUCUACAUCGCCAUGGUUUUCUCAGACUCUUACCUCAACCUCUCAAAUGGAUGAAACCACAUAUAUAAGAAUACAUAUAUGCUUAACCAUGUAUGAAAUAAAAAUCUUGGAGUAAAUUAGAGUCCUACUAUAUUGGACUUGGAGGCUGUUUUCUAUUUAUGAUAACUUUAUUGAGAUAUAAUUAUAUACCACACAGUCUUAGCCAUUUGAAGCAUAUAAUUAAGUGUAGUCAGAGGUGUGCAACUAUCACCACAACAUAUUUUAGAAUACUUUUAUCAUGUCAGAAAGAAAUCGUGCCUCAUUAGUGUGUGCUGUUCAGUCUCCCAACUUUCUCAUCCCUAGGCAAACUGUGUCCCUUCUUGCUCUAUAGAUUUGCCCAUUUGGGAUAUUUUAUGCAAACAGAAUUGUAAUGUAUAUGCCUCGUGUGAUUGGCCUCUUUUACAAAAUAUGUUUUUAAGGUUUAUCCAUAUUAUAGUAUGUCCUGGUAUGGUAUUCCUUUGUAUGAUCAAAUAGUAUUCUAACACACUAUAAUUUAUUGUGCCACUAGUUGAUGGAUAUUUGGGCUGUUUGUACUCUGAGGCUAUUAUUAAUAAUGCUUUUAUGAUUAUUCAUGCACAGGAUUUUAUGUAGACAUGUUUUGUCUGUGUGUAUAUUCCUGGGAGUGGAAUUGCUGUAUCAUAUGAUAAUUCUGUGUUUAAUCCUUUGAGGAACUUCUGGAAUAUUUUCCAAAGUAGCUUCACAAGCAUUGUGCAGUCCCACCCACAGGGUAUGCGAGAGGCCCUGAGUUCCUUACAAGCCUGCGUAGUAUUUCAUAUUGCUAUUUGAUUAUUUGUGCUAAUGAGUAUGAAACAGAAUCUCAUUAUUAUUUUAAUUUGCAUUCUUGUGUUUGCUGAUGAUACUAAACAUCUUUACAUGUGCUUAUUAUUAGCACAUGUAGUAUCACUUGAGAAAUGUGUGCUUAGCUCUUUUUUUUUAAAGAUUUAUUUUUUAUUAUUAUAUGUAAGUACACUGUAGCUGUCUUUAGACAUCCUAGAAGAGGGGGUCAGAUCUCAUUACGGAUGGUUGCAAGCCACCAUGUAGUUGCUGGGAUUUGAACUUAGGAUCUUCAGAAGAGCAGUCAGUGCUCUCAACCGCUGAGCCAUCUUUAGCUCUUUUACCCAGAGUUGUUUACAAAUUCUUAAUGCAGUCCUUCAUUAGGUAUAUGACUUACAAAUAUUUUCUUCAUUUAAAAAGUUCGCUAAGCAAUGAUGGGAUAUACCUUUAAUCCCAGCACUCAGGGGCCAGAGGCAGGCAGAUCUCUGUGAGUUCAAGGCCAGCCUGGUCUACAGAGUGAGUUCUAGAUUUCACAGAGAAAACCUACCU